Molecule: unclassified non-coding RNA, 387 nt
Filed under: fungal sp.
Lineage: Eukaryota; Fungi
Description: partial internal transcribed spacer region
Rfam family: Eukaryotic small subunit ribosomal RNA (bases 1-46)
Source: RNAcentral
AAGUCGUAACAAGGUCUCCGUAGGUGAACCUGCGGAGGGAUCAUUAACACGUAUCCAAACGUUUCAAACCAAACCGUGCUCUUAUUUCCUGUAGGGGAUUGGUGACUAGCAAGCCACAGGUGGAUUGGUCUCUCUUCGGGGAGAUCCCUACUUGCAGUCUACUGGCACCUUGAGGCCGACUGAUUCUCUACAGUGUAUCCCAAGCCACCUGGUUACAUGUGCCAAACCGGUUCCGACCCGGAGCCUUGUAACCUUAGUAUUCCCUUUUUUAUACCCCUUUUUAUCAAUCAACUGAUUUUUACUUUCUUCUCUGUCAGCCUCUGGGUUGAUUAGAAAGAAAUAUACGAAAUAUACGUACAACUCUUAGCAAUGGAUAUCUUGGUUCUC